Long non-coding RNA from Schistocerca gregaria, 562 nucleotides. RefSeq lists it as uncharacterized. Lineage: Eukaryota; Metazoa; Arthropoda; Insecta; Orthoptera; Acrididae. The transcript has 4 exons. The record is from RefSeq and is a predicted model, not a curated record.
UGCCGAACAUCUGACUAUCGCUACCAUGGAAUAAACACAGGGAAGGCAGAUAGUAUUUCGGACAGUUGGUCAAAAUUUACCGGUCUUAAUAUCAGAAAUUCACCAGUCAAAAUUUACCAGUACUAUUGAUUUCAAAGGAUCAAUAAAAAGAUUUAUCAACUGAAGUAAAUCAGAUCACAUAUCGUCAUGAGUUGUUGUGGACCAUGUCGCCCCUGCCCACCAUGUCAAGUGCGUUAUUGCCCUGGCCUACAUGACAAGCAGGUAGCAAUUAAAGGUGGUGUCUUGAUACAAUGCACAUGUUGGUAUCAUUAUGGAUUACAACAUGAAUGCCCAUUUCAUGGAGUGGACUCACCAUCAAGAGGUGCAUGUUUCCCAUGUUGGAGAUGAAUGACAAUUAUGAAGAAGAUGAAACUGCAGAGAAAACAUCAGAAAAACUUACUAAGAACAUGAUGAUAUGUAAUUACUCAGGCAAUUUGGAAGUGAGCAUUUAACUUGAAAUGUAUGUUUGAUGUGUUUUUAAACAUUGUUUAAUAAAAUUAAAUGUAGUCAAAUUUCCAAUUAA